Molecule: long non-coding RNA, 154 nt
Organism: Salvelinus sp. IW2-2015
Lineage: Eukaryota; Metazoa; Chordata; Actinopteri; Salmoniformes; Salmonidae
Source: RefSeq, a predicted model, not a curated record
GUUGACCUCCCAGAGCCUCCUUUCCCCAGCCCUCCAUUUCCUGGGUCAAAGGUCRUCCACAGGAGGAAGAAGAGACAGGCCCCGCGGGUUGGAGGCAGUGUGGCCGAGGAGACCAAGUACAUCGAGCUGAUGGUGAUCAAUGACAUUCGAAUGU